UCCCUGGUGGCUCAGAUGGUAAAGCAUCUGCCUACAAUGCAGAGGACCCGGGUUCAAUCCCUGGGUCGGGAA
Molecule: non-coding RNA, 72 nt
Organism: Bos taurus (domestic cattle)
Lineage: Eukaryota; Metazoa; Chordata; Mammalia; Artiodactyla; Bovidae
Source: Rfam